GAUGAACGCUGGCGGCGUGCCUAAUACAUGCAAGUCGAGCGAACAGACGAGGAGCUUGCUCCUUUGACGUUAGCGGCGGACGGGUGAGUAACACGUGGAUAACCUACCUAUAAGACUGGGAUAACUUCGGGAAACCGGAGCUAAUACCGGAUAAUAUAUUGAACCGCAUGGUUCAAUAGUGAAAGACGGUUUUGCUGUCACUUAUAGAUGGAUCCGCGCCGCAUUAGCUAGUUGGUAAGGUAACGGCUUACCAAGGCAACGAUGCGUAGCCGACCUGAGAGGGUGAUCAGCCACACUGGAACUGAGACACGGUACAGACUCCUACGGGAGGCAGCAGUAGGGAAUCUUCCGCAAUGGGCGAAAGCUUGACGGAGCAACGCCGCGUGAGUGAUGAAGGUCUUCGGAUCGUAAAACUCUGUUAUUAGGGAAGAACAAAUGUGUAAGUAACUAUGCACGUCUUGACGGUACCUAAUCAGAAAGCCACGGCUAACUACGUG
RNAcentral lists this ribosomal RNA (497 nucleotides) under uncultured bacterium. RNAcentral's name for it is "partial 16S ribosomal RNA". It matches the Rfam family "Bacterial small subunit ribosomal RNA", at positions 28 to 507 of the family's 1533-position model. The record is from RNAcentral.